UGGGGAAUUUUGCACAAUGGGGGAAACCCUGAUGCAGCGACGCCGCGUGAUUUAGAAGGCCUUCGGGUUGUAAAAAUCUUUUUUAUGGGAUGAAAAUGACAGUACCAUAAGAAUAAGGUCCGGCUAAAUACGUGCCAGCAGCCGCGGUAAUACGUAUGGACCGAGCGUUGUCCGGAAUCAUUGGGCGUAAAGGGUACGUAGGCGGCCCAGUAAGUUAGAAGUGAAAUAAUAUAGCUCAACUAUAUAAAGCUUUUAAAACUGCUAGGCUUGAGAGAUGGAAGGGAAAGGGGAAUUCCUAGUGUAGCGGUGAAAUGCGCAGAUAUUAGGAAGAAUACCGGUGGCGAAGGCGACUAUCUGGUCAUCAUCAGACGCUAAGGUACGAAAGCGUGGGUAGCAAACAGG
RNAcentral lists this ribosomal RNA (402 nucleotides) under Verrucomicrobiota bacterium. RNAcentral describes it as "Verrucomicrobia bacterium partial 16S ribosomal RNA". It matches the Rfam family "Bacterial small subunit ribosomal RNA", at positions 355 to 776 of the family's 1533-position model. Lineage: Bacteria; Pseudomonadati; Verrucomicrobiota. The record is from RNAcentral.